AGAGUUUGAUCAUGGCUCAGAACGUACGCUGGCGGCACGCCUAACACAUGCAAGUCGAACGAAGUAGCAAUACUUAGUGGCAGACGGGUGAGUAACAUGUGGGUAUCUGCCCUUUGGCCUGGAAUAACACGAGGAAACUUGUGCUAAUACCGGAUAAGUCUUUACGGAGAAAGCUUUAUGCACCAUUGGAUGAGCCCGCACUUGAUUAGUUUGUUGGUGGGGUAAUGGCCUACCAAGACUGUGAUCAAUAGCUGAUUUGAGAGGAUGAUCAGCCACAUUGGGACUGAGACACGGCCCAAACUCCUACGGGAGGCAGCAGUGGGGAAUCUUGCACAAUGGAGGAAACUCUGAUGCAGCGAUGCCGCGUGAGUGAAGAAGGCCUUUGGGUUGUAAAGCUCUUUCGUCGGGGAAGAAAAUGACUGUACCCGAAUAAGAAGGUCCGGCUAACUUCGUGCCAGCAGCCGCGGUAAUACGAAGGGGCCUAGCGUAGUUCGGAAUUACUGGGCUUAAAGAGUUCGUAGGUGGUUGAAAAAGUUGGUGGUGAAAUCCCAGAGCUUAACUCUGGAACUGCCAUCAAAACUUUUCAGCUAGAGUUUGAUAGAGGAAAGCAGAAUUUCUAGUGUAGAGGUGAAAUUCGUAGAUAUUAGAAAGAAUACCAAUUGCGAAGGCAGCUUUCUGGAUCAUUACUGACACUGAGGAACGAAAGCAUGGGUAGCGAAGAGGAUUAGAUACCCUCGUAGUCCAUGCCGUAAACGAUGUGUGUUAGACGUUGGAGAUUUAUUUUCAGUGUCGCAGCGAAAGCGAUAAACACACCGCCUGGGGAGUACGACCGCAAGGUUAAAACUCAAAUGAAUUGACGGGGACCCGCACAAGUAGUGGAGCAUGUGGUUUAAUUCGAAGAUACGCGCAGAACCUUACCAACACUUGACAUGUUCGUCGCGACUUUAAGAGAUUAAAGUUUUCGGUUCGGCCGGACGAAACACAGGUGCUGCAUGGCUGUCGUCAGCUCGUGUCGUGAGAUGUUGGGUUAAGUCCCGCAACGAGCGCAACCCUCACUUUUAGUUGCCAUCAUUUAGUUGGGCACUCUGAAAGAACUGCCAGUGAUAAGCUGGAGGAAGGUGGGGAUGACGUCAAGUCCUCAUGGCCCUUACGUGUUGGGCUACACACGUGCUACAAUGGCAUCUACAACAGGAAGCAAGACAGCGAUGUUAAGCAAAUCCUUAAAAGAUGCCUCAGUUCGGAUUGCACUCUGCAACUCGAGUGCAUGAAGCUGGAAUUACUAGUAAUCGUGGAUCAGCGUGCCACGGUGAAUGCGUUCCCGGGUCUUGUACACACCGCCCGUCACACCAUGGGAGUUGGUUCUACCUUAAGGCAAGGUUUUAAACCCUUGACCACGGUAUAGUCAGCGACUGGGGUGAAGUCGUAACAAGGUA
This 1433-nucleotide ribosomal RNA is filed under the name uncultured bacterium. RNAcentral's name for it is "bacterial SSU rRNA". It matches the Rfam family "Bacterial small subunit ribosomal RNA". The record is from RNAcentral.